AUGUCCGCUGGUGGAACAAUCAUGAAGAAGACCAUUGAUGGUGCAAUUAUUCUCAUUGAGAGCAUUUCCUUCCACCAAAUGCAAUGGGGUUAUGAAAGGCCCAGUUCAAAUCCGAAGGUUGCAAGCCAUCUGCAAUCAGAAGCUGUGUGUUCCAUAAGUGAACAGAAAUCAUCGAUGGUGCCUAAUAUUCAAAACCAGCAUGUUCCAUUCCGGGGACAACAACAUUUCAGAGCUGAAUUAGAUCCUCCAUGUAGAAAGAUUGAUCUUACUUCAAGUAUCCUUGAUGAUGAUUAUGAUAUUUUUCAAGAUGAUGCAACCAUUGUAGAUCAGAUGGAAACCACAGUAGCAGAUCCAAUACCUCAAUGCAAUGAAACUGUCCAGACUGAGUCAAAGUUGCAAGAAGAUGUUUAUGAGGAACCUACUCUGAUUGAUGCUAAGUUGAGACAACAAGAUAUGGAGAAAUUCACUUGUGUUAGUCAACUACGUGACUGGUGGAAUUUAGUCGUGGCACCAAUUGCCCACACUUGUGUUACAACUGUAUCUGGGAUAUUUGUCAAGAAGAAAUCAUUAGCUCCACCGGUGGUUGCCUCUAUCUCAGUUAAAGAGAGUAUCUCAGAGAAGAAUAGUGAAGAUGAGAUUCCAACUCCUGCACAUACAUCUAAGCAAGUCGGAGACAUUCCAAGGAGAGAGAUACAAGAGGUUGAGUCAAAUUUAGAAGAGUUGAUACUUCAAUAUCCUGAGAAGAUCCCACGUGUUGCUGAGCUGCAUGACUGGUGGAAGUCAUCAGUGUCAUUGUUGAAACUCAACAGUGAUGGUGAUGAGGAGAAUAUUGCUCAGAAAGACAGCGAGGUAGUGAUCUCAGCACCCCUACCAGAUCAUGUUAGUGCAUAUUCACAGAUGGGGACACUUCAGACUCAAUUAGGUGUUGCUGGUAGUAGCACCAUAGAAGAUCCAGAGGAAGAGAGAUCUCAACUUGAAGAAGAAAUACUCGAAGACGAGGAACAAGAUGAUCCAAAGCUCGAACAACCAAGUGAUCAAGUUGAAGAGUCAUCAUCUACUACUCUUGAAGAAGCAAAAGAAGUUGCUGUAGAUGAACUUGAAGAACCAGAAAUUCAUUUGCCUAUUGUCAUACAAGAGCGUGAUGUAGCAGGUUUGAGGUGA
RNAcentral lists this ribosomal RNA (1161 nucleotides) under Triticum aestivum (bread wheat). Its description in RNAcentral is "partial small subunit ribosomal RNA". The record is from RNAcentral. Lineage: Eukaryota; Viridiplantae; Streptophyta; Magnoliopsida; Poales; Poaceae.